Molecule: ribosomal RNA, 2887 nt
Filed under: Staphylococcus aureus
Lineage: Bacteria; Bacillati; Bacillota; Bacilli; Caryophanales; Staphylococcaceae
Description: partial 23S ribosomal RNA
Rfam family: Bacterial large subunit ribosomal RNA
Source: RNAcentral
CACUAGAAGCCGAUGAAGGACGUUACUAACGACGAUAUGCUUUGGGGAGCUGUAAGUAAGCUUUGAUCCAGAGAUUUCCGAAUGGGGAAACCCAGCAUGAGUUAUGUCAUGUUAUCGAUAUGUGAAUACAUAGCAUAUCAGAAGGCACACCCGGAGAACUGAAACAUCUUAGUACCCGGAGGAAGAGAAAGAAAAUUCGAUUCCCUUAGUAGCGGCGAGCGAAACGGGAAGAGCCCAAACCAACAAGCUUGCUUGUUGGGGUUGUAGGACACUCUAUACGGAGUUACAAAGGACGACAUUAGACGAAUCAUCUGGAAAGAUGAAUCAAAGAAGGUAAUAAUCCUGUAGUCGAAAAUGUUGUCUCUCUUGAGUGGAUCCUGAGUACGACGGAGCACGUGAAAUUCCGUCGGAAUCUGGGAGGACCAUCUCCUAAGGCUAAAUACUCUCUAGUGACCGAUAGUGAACCAGUACCGUGAGGGAAAGGUGAAAAGCACCCCGGAAGGGGAGUGAAAUAGAACCUGAAACCGUGUGCUUACAAGUAGUCAGAGCCCGUUAAUGGGUGAUGGCGUGCCUUUUGUAGAAUGAACCGGCGAGUUACGAUUUGAUGCAAGGUUAAGCAGUAAAUGUGGAGCCGUAGCGAAAGCGAGUCUGAAUAGGGCGUUUAGUAUUUGGUCGUAGACCCGAAACCAGGUGAUCUACCCUUGGUCAGGUUGAAGUUCAGGUAACACUGAAUGGAGGACCGAACCGACUUACGUUGAAAAGUGAGCGGAUGAACUGAGGGUAGCGGAGAAAUUCCAAUCGAACCUGGAGAUAGCUGGUUCUCUCCGAAAUAGCUUUAGGGCUAGCCUCAAGUGAUGAUUAUUGGAGGUAGAGCACUGUUUGGACGAGGGGCCCCUCUCGGGUUACCGAAUUCAGACAAACUCCGAAUGCCAAUUAAUUUAACUUGGGAGUCAGAACAUGGGUGAUAAGGUCCGUGUUCGAAAGGGAAACAGCCCAGACCACCAGCUAAGGUCCCAAAAUAUAUGUUAAGUGGAAAAGGAUGUGGCGUUGCCCAGACAACUAGGAUGUUGGCUUAGAAGCAGCCAUCAUUUAAAGAGUGCGUAAUAGCUCACUAGUCGAGUGACACUGCGCCGAAAAUGUACCGGGGCUAAACAUAUUACCGAAGCUGUGGAUUGUCCUUUGGACAAUGGUAGGAGAGCGUUCUAAGGGCGUUGAAGCAUGAUCGUAAGGACAUGUGGAGCGCUUAGAAGUGAGAAUGCCGGUGUGAGUAGCGAAAGACGGGUGAGAAUCCCGUCCACCGAUUGACUAAGGUUUCCAGAGGAAGGCUCGUCCGCUCUGGGUUAGUCGGGUCCUAAGCUGAGGCCGACAGGCGUAGGCGAUGGAUAACAGGUUGAUAUUCCUGUACCACCUAUAAUCGUUUUAAUCGAUGGGGGGACGCAGUAGGAUAGGCGAAGCGUGCGAUUGGAUUGCACGUCUAAGCAGUAAGGCUGAGUAUUAGGCAAAUCCGGUACUCGUUAAGGCUGAGCUGUGAUGGGGAGAAGACAUUGUGUCUUCGAGUCGUUGAUUUCACACUGCCGAGAAAAGCCUCUAGAUAGAAAAUAGGUGCCCGUACCGCAAACCGACACAGGUAGUCAAGAUGAGAAUUCUAAGGUGAGCGAGCGAACUCUCGUUAAGGAACUCGGCAAAAUGACCCCGUAACUUCGGGAGAAGGGGUGCUCUUUAGGGUUAACGCCCAGAAGAGCCGCAGUGAAUAGGCCCAAGCGACUGUUUAUCAAAAACACAGGUCUCUGCUAAACCGUAAGGUGAUGUAUAGGGGCUGACGCCUGCCCGGUGCUGGAAGGUUAAGAGGAGUGGUUAGCUUCUGCGAAGCUACGAAUCGAAGCCCCAGUAAACGGCGGCCGUAACUAUAACGGUCCUAAGGUAGCGAAAUUCCUUGUCGGGUAAGUUCCGACCCGCACGAAAGGCGUAACGAUUUGGGCACUGUCUCAACGAGAGACUCGGUGAAAUCAUAGUACCUGUGAAGAUGCAGGUUACCCGCGACAGGACGGAAAGACCCCGUGGAGCUUUACUGUAGCCUGAUAUUGAAAUUCGGCACAGCUUGUACAGGAUAGGUAGGAGCCUUUGAAACGUGAGCGCUAGCUUACGUGGAGGCGCUGGUGGGAUACUACCCUAGCUGUGUUGGCUUUCUAACCCGCACCACUUAUCGUGGUGGGAGACAGUGUCAGGCGGGCAGUUUGACUGGGGCGGUCGCCUCCUAAAAGGUAACGGAGGCGCUCAAAGGUUCCCUCAGAAUGGUUGGAAAUCAUUCAUAGAGUGUAAAGGCAUAAGGGAGCUUGACUGCGAGACCUACAAGUCGAGCAGGGUCGAAAGACGGACUUAGUGAUCCGGUGGUUCCGCAUGGAAGGGCCAUCGCUCAACGGAUAAAAGCUACCCCGGGGAUAACAGGCUUAUCUCCCCCAAGAGUUCACAUCGACGGGGAGGUUUGGCACCUCGAUGUCGGCUCAUCGCAUCCUGGGGCUGUAGUCGGUCCCAAGGGUUGGGCUGUUCGCCCAUUAAAGCGGUACGCGAGCUGGGUUCAGAACGUCGUGAGACAGUUCGGUCCCUAUCCGUCGUGGGCGUAGGAAAUUUGAGAGGAGCUGUCCUUAGUACGAGAGGACCGGGAUGGACAUACCUCUGGUGUACCAGUUGUCGUGCCAACGGCAUAGCUGGGUAGCUAUGUGUGGACGGGAUAAGUGCUGAAAGCAUCUAAGCAUGAAGCCCCCCUCAAGAUGAGAUUUCCCAACUUCGGUUAUAAGAUCCCUCAAAGAUGAUGAGGUUAAUAGGUUCGAGGUGGAAGCAUGGUGACAUGUGGAGCUGACGAAUACUAAUCGAUCGAAGACUUAAUCAA